Molecule: transfer RNA, 73 nt
Filed under: Trichonephila clavata
Lineage: Eukaryota; Metazoa; Arthropoda; Arachnida; Araneae; Nephilidae
Rfam family: tRNA
About the family: Transfer RNA (tRNA) molecules are approximately 80 nucleotides in length. Their secondary structure includes four short double-helical elements and three loops (D, anti-codon, and T loops). Further hydrogen bonds mediate the characteristic L-shaped molecular structure. tRNAs have two regions of fundamental functional importance: the anti-codon, which is responsible for specific mRNA codon recognition, and the 3' end, to which the tRNAs corresponding amino acid is attached (by aminoacyl-tRNA synthetases). tRNAs cope with the degeneracy of the genetic code in two manners: having more than one tRNA (with a specific anti-codon) for a particular amino acid; and 'wobble' base-pairing, i.e. permitting non-standard base-pairing at the 3rd anti-codon position.
Source: Rfam by way of RNAcentral
CUCCCUUUAACGCAAUGGAUAGCGCGUUGGACUUCUAAUCCAAAGGUCGUGGAUUCGAAUUCCACUUGGGAUA